RNAcentral lists this ribosomal RNA (433 nucleotides) under uncultured bacterium. Its description in RNAcentral is "partial 16S ribosomal RNA". It matches the Rfam family "Bacterial small subunit ribosomal RNA", at positions 29 to 507 of the family's 1533-position model. The record is from RNAcentral.
AACGAACGCUGGCGGCAUGCCUAACACAUGCAAGUCGAACGAGACCUUCGGGUCUAGUGGCGCACGGGUGCGUAACGCGUGGGAACCUGCCCUUAGGUUCGGAAUAACUCCCCGAAAGGGGUGCUAAUACCGGAUAAUGUCUUCGGACCAAAGAUUUAUCGCCUUUGGAUGGGCCCGCGUUGGAUUAGCUAGUUGGUAGGGUAAAAGCCUACCAAGGAGACGAUCCAUAGCUGGUCUGGGAGGAUGAUCAGCCACACUGGGACUGAGACACGGCCCAGACUCCUACGGGAGGCAGCAGUGGGGAAUAUUGGACAAUGGGCGAAAGCCUGAUCCAGCAAUGCCGCGUGAGUGAUGAAGGCCUUAGGGUUGUAAAGCUCUUUUACCCGGGAUGAUAAUGACAGUACCGGGAGAAUAAGCUCCGGCUAACUCCGUG